Molecule: long non-coding RNA, 261 nt
Filed under: Homo sapiens (human)
Lineage: Eukaryota; Metazoa; Chordata; Mammalia; Primates; Hominidae
Description: HSALNT0123983
Source: RNAcentral
AUGGGGCUUGUAUGAUGCAUAUUUUCGAAUGCUUGCCCCAGCCAGGCCUCCUUCUCAACGAGUCUUUCCUCACCCAGGGUCCCUGACACUCUAAACAUGUUUUAUUCCAAGAGGCCUAAGGUCGCCCCACCUUCGUUCUAUCUACCUCCCAAUGGACACAGCCAGUUGAACCAGAAGUGUGGUGGAUACUGACACAAGGCAAGAGUUUUGACCAAGCACAGGCUCAGGAGGCACAGACCAUUAUGCUGGAUUCCUACUCCC